AACGAACGCUGGCGGCAUGCCUAACACAUGCAAGUCGAACGAAGCCUUCGGGCUUAGUGGCGCACGGGUGCGUAACGCGUGGGAAUCUGCCCUUGGGUUCGGAAUAACAGUUAGAAAUGACUGCUAAUACCGGAUGAUGUCUUCGGACCAAAGAUUUAUCGCCCAAGGAUGAGCCCGCGUAGGAUUAGGUAGUUGGUGGGGUAAUGGCCCACCAAGCCGACGAUCCUUAGCUGGUCUGAGAGGAUGAUCAGCCACACUGGGACUGAGGAACGGGCCAGACUCCUACGGGAGGCAGCAGUGGGGAAUAUUGGACAAUGGGCGAAAGCCUGAUCCAGCAAUGCCGCGUGAGUGAUGAAGGCCUUAGGGUUGUAAAGCUCUUUUACCAGGGAUGAUAAUGACAGUACCUGGAGAAUAAGCUCCGGCUAACUACGUGCCAGCAGCCGCAGUAA
This 449-nucleotide ribosomal RNA is filed under the name uncultured bacterium. Its description in RNAcentral is "partial 16S ribosomal RNA". It matches the Rfam family "Bacterial small subunit ribosomal RNA", at positions 29 to 523 of the family's 1533-position model. The record is from RNAcentral.